Molecule: long non-coding RNA, 7303 nt
Organism: Homo sapiens (human)
Lineage: Eukaryota; Metazoa; Chordata; Mammalia; Primates; Hominidae
Exons: 3
Source: RefSeq, a predicted model, not a curated record
GGUCUCUAGAGCCAGACAGGAUACGGGCUCUAGAGCCAGACAGUGUGCCGGCUCUAUAAUGUGUCAUCUUGAGCAGUUAUAUACUGUCUCUAUGCUUCAGGUUCCUCAUCUUCAAAAGGGGGAUGGGAUAGUAAUCAUUUCAUAAAGGCUGAGAGUUCAGUAGCACAGGCACAGUGCUUAGAACAGUGUCUGACCACAUGUUAAGCUCUUUAAAAUGUUAAUUAUAGCCAAAGAAUGUACCACAUUUUAUAGGUUUAGGCCUUUGUCUUCAGAUUUAGGAGUAGCAUAUUUAAAUUUCUGAGUUUGAAUUAUGCAGCCUGUGGCUUCCCUCCUUUGGGACAAAUGAUGGAAGUUGUUGUUGAGUAAUUUGUAAUUUGUGUGCUCAAUUUAUAAAAGGAAAAUUGCUGAGACAUCACAUAAUUCCAACUGCAGAAGUUUAGAAACUGUCAUCAGCUUUUUUCCUGUCACUAUUACUUUUUUGACUCUAUCAAUUUGAAGCUAUUCAGUUUUCAUUAUACUAGAUCUGUAACCUUUCAGUUUCUGCAGAGAAUUUUUAAUAUUUUGUAAAAUCAGGAACAAGGUAAAACAGGAUAGUUGAAGACACAUUGUUGAAAAGAAAAAGAUGAACAGAUGUAGCAGGAACCUGAGAUGAGAUCAUUAUGAGAGUAGAAAACAAUCUAACUGAGUUUCUUGGCAAAUGAGUGAGGAGUGUAUUGAGUUGUAGUCUUGUUUGGGUGUAAUAGCAAACAGAUGAUUUUUUUGCCUAGCACUGUCAUUAAGAUACUGAGUGGGUUGAUGAUCCAAUGGGAGUUUAUUUUAUCUGUUAAACAAUUCAAGGGAGAACUUUAAAUCUUAAUUCAGUGAAGGCAUCUUUUAGGGAAUUGAGAUAAUCAGAAAUUUGCUGUCUCACUAUAUUACUAAUACAGGGGGAAAGAAUUUAGUCUUAGAAAGUUUAGAAAGGCCAGGAGCAGUAGCUCAUGCCUGUAAUCUCAGCUUUUUGGGAGGCCAAGGCAGGAUGAUCCCUUGAAGCCAGGAGUUCUAGAUCAGCCUGAGCAACAAAGUGAGACCCCGUCUCCACAAAAAAAAAAAAAAAAAAAAAAAAAAAUUUUGGUUGGGCAUGAUGGUGCACACCUUUAGUCCCAGCUACUUGGGAGGCUGACUGGAUAGGAUCACUUAGCCUAGGAGUUUGGGGCUGCAGUGAGCUAUAAGCCAUGAGCAUACUACUGCACUCCAGCCUGGGAGACAGACUGAGAGCCUCUCUAUUUUUUUCUUUUUUAAAAAAGAAAAUUUAGAAUAGUUAAUAGGCUCCAAAACAAAUACUUUUGCUAUUUCUGCCAAAGUACCUAAAUAACAGAAAAGAGUAAAUACAUUUAGGAUAUACUGGUGGUAGGAUAGUGUCAAAUUUUUUUAAUGUUAUGGUGUAACUUAGAAAUUUACAUGAACUUUGCAUUUUUCACCAUAGUCUAGCCAUACUUAGUAUUGGAAUAAAGUUUUUAAAAUUAUUGCCAUGAUGUGGAAUUGCUGCAGGGUGAUAUGCUAUGCUCAUGCUGUUGUUUGUAGUACCUUUCUAAUUAGUAUUACCACUCCUCUCUCUUUUCUUAAGAAAUAAGACUAACUUGUUCUUCUCAAAUGUCUCAAAAGAGCCCUUGAUUGAGAUUCUAGAACUCUUUCAUAUAAUGAGAGGCUGUUUUUGAUUAAGAAAGAUUUAAGAGUAGGUAUUACCACUUUGUCCAGACUCCAGGGCAUGAAUUUUAAAAGAACUGAAAAUAACUGGUUCUUAAAUGGUUGGAUGAGGCAACUGAAAUUGGAGUUCUAAUAUUAAUAUAAUCCAUUUGAAUAUUGUGGAAUGUCUGCCAAAUACAAAGUCUUUAGUACAAGGGUGUCCAAUCUUUUGGCUUCCCUGGGCCAUAUUGGAAGAGGAAGAAUUGUCUUGGGCCACACAUAAAAUACACUAACGAUAAAUGAGGAGCUUAAAAAAACAAAAAAAGAAUCACAAAUGUCUGAUAAUGUUUAAGAAAGUUUACAAAUUUGUGUUGGGCCACAUUCAAAGCUGUCUGGGCUGCAUGUGGUCCACAGGCUGUGAGUUGGGCAAACUUGCUUUAGUAUUUGCUUGCUUUUUCUAUUUAUCAUUUGGUUGGGCUAUUAUUUAUCUGUACUUGUUUAGUUAAACCAUCGUCUUUUAUGCUGUGGUGGUUGGAGAACCAGUUAGGAAUUUUUAUCUAGCUUUAGAUGAUUGGCUUCCUUAAAGUUGAUAUUUAUGGGAUCCCUCAGGGCAAGCUUGCUGGUUCACAAUUAAAGCUAUAUUGGUAGUUAAAGAUUACUUGUGUAGGAUAACUUGUGUAGAAUAACUAUACUGCAGAGAUAAUUCUGAACAGACAUAGUUGAUGGCAAAACUUGGAUCAGUUGGAAGUUUGUGGCUGAUUUCUUUUGUAAGAAACAUUCUCUGGACAACAGUAUCCGCAAAUCUGUUUGCUAGGUGAAUCUAAUAUCACUAGGGCUGUAAUUUUUUUUUUAAUUAAAAACAUUUUUUUUAGAGACAGGGUCUCACUCUGUUGCCCAGGCUGGAGUAUAGUGGCACAGACAUAGCUCAUUAUAACCUCAAACUUACGGGCUCAAGCGAUCCUCCUGCCUCGGUCUCCUGAGUAGCUGGGACAUAGGCAUGUACCAUCGUGUCUGGCUAACUUUUUUUUUUUAUUUUUAGUAGAGACAAGGUCUCACUACGUGGUCCAGGUUGGUCUUAAACUCCUGGGCUCAAGUGAUUCUCCUACCUCAGCCUCCCAUUCCUGGGAAUACAAGCAUGAGCCACCACGCCUGGCCUAGGGCUCUGUAGUAUUUUUAAUUGGUAUUUACUUUGUUAAAAAAUGUAAAUCAUGUCAUAUUCAGUAAAGUGCACAAAUCUGCAGCUCAAUGAAUGUUUACAUAUGUAUUUAUUUAAGACAAUAUUCCACUAGCUGUGUAUUUAAAAGCAAGCAAAUUCAUUGGAUUAAAAAAGUAUUUGCUUAAAAAAUUUUUUUUCUUAUAAAUAUAUGUUCACAUAGAAAAUUGAGAUAAGAAAAAAUAAGUCACUUGUAAUUCCACCAUCAAGAACUCUAAACAUUUUGGUGUAUAAGCAUUCAUUCAUUUACUAUUAUUUUCUGAAUAUCUAAUAUGUGCCAGAAAUUUGAGAUGCUGAGGAUACAGCAAUGAUUAGAACAGUCAAAAUCCUUGCCUUUGAGGAGAUUAUACUUUACUUGGGGGAAAAGGACAAUAUAUAAGAAAGUAUAUUGUGUGUCAGAUGGUGAUAAGUACCAUGGGGGAGAAUAAAAGAAAUAAAGGGAAGAGGGAGUCCUGGAAGGGACUGCAAUUUUUACAUAGAGUGACCAAGAAUGGCUCUACUUGAGAAGGUAACAUUUGAGCCAAGACCUGGAGGAGACAAAAGAACAUGCUGGGCAGACCUGAAGGAAAAGAGCACUCCAGGCAAAGGCCUUGAUGGGGGCAGUGCCUGGCAUGUUUGAGAAACAUCAGGAAGGCCACUGUGGCUGGAACAAAAGAGGGCAAGGGACAAAUGAAGUUAAGACAGGGAGGAGGGGAUUGUGUCCUCUAGUUGCUCUCCCUCCUGGCUGCACAUGAGAAUCACCUUAGAGGCUCUUGAAAACCACUGAUGCUGAGCUCCCCACCCAGGCCACGGAAGCUGAUUUCUAAUGUGCAGCCAGGGUUGAGAAACACUGGCACAAGGCCUUUAGGCCAUUUUUUUCUUUCUUUUUUUUUUUUUUUUUUUUUUCUUUGAGAUGGAGUUUUGCUCUUAUUCCCCAGACUGGGGUGCAAAUGGCAUGAUCUCGGCUCACUGCAACCUCUGCCUCCCAGGUUCAAGAGAUUCUCCUGCCUCAGCUUCCUGAGUAGCUGGGAUUAUAGGUACAUGCCACCAUGCCCGGCUAAUUUUUUGUAUUUUUAGUAGAGACGGGGUUUCACCAUGUUGGUCAGGCUGUCUUGAACUCCUGACCUCAGGUGAUCCGCCUGCCUCGGCCUCCCAAAGUGCUGGGAUAGCAUAGGCAUGAGCCACCGCUCCUGGCCUCCUUUAGGCCAUUUUAAGGACUUUGUAUUUUACUGUGAGUGAGAUGGGAAGCCAUUGGGGAGUUCUGAGGAAAGAUCUACCUUAUGUUUUAUUAUUUUAAAAUUAUAUAUUAUUGAAUGUUCCAGAUAUACAGAAAAGGACUCACCAUCCAACCCACUUUAACAGCCAUCUGCAUUUUGUCGUGCUUGCUUUAUCCUGCCUCCCCACCCCACUUUUUUUUUCCUAGAGUAUUUCAAUGCUAGGUUGAGUUUUUAGAAGGAUCAUUCUGGUGUCUGUGUUGAGAGAAGGAGUGGCAGAGCAAGGGCUGAAGUAAGUGUAUCCUCCAUGUAUUUUUUUCCUUAGGCUUUGUAGACAUGUUUUUAUACAGUAUCCACUUAUUUAUAAACUGUUUUCUUUAUUAUAUAGGACAUUUUAUGUCACUGGAUAUGCUACAACUUUGUUUUCUCAUGGCUAUAUAGUGGCUUUUGAUAUGCAUUGCUAAGGUGUUUUUCAGAAAGACUUUACUAAUUUAUACUCCCACCAGCUGCUUUGGAAAGUGUCAGGUUUCCUUAAGUUCUCACUAACAUUGAAUUUAAUGACUAACAUUGAAUUUAGUCAUUAAAAAAUUUCUAUGUUGACAGGUAAAAAAAGACAACUCAUGGUUUUAAUUUUAGUUCUUUGAUGUCCACUAGGUUUAUUUCUAUUUUCAUUUGCAUUAGAAACUAGGCUUAUAUCAUUUGCUAGCUGUGUGACUUUAAGUCACUCAGGAGUGCUGUUUUCAUACUAUAAGAUGGGUGUUGUGUAUCUGCUUCACAGAAUUUUCAUUAAGGUUAAAUAGAAGCAUUUUUUAUGCCCAGGUCUUUAAAUCUUUUGGCCAUGAUCUGCAGGGGGAAGAAAAUGCAUCUUACAUUGUGACAAGCAUAUAUAAAUACGUGGCUGAAAGUUUCUUGGAACAAGAUAUAUGUCCUCACCAUGUAUGAUGCACUUCUGAUAUUGUACAUUUUCAUUCACUUUUAAAAAUACCCCUUGUUGACCAGUAGAUUGAUCAUGACUCCCUGGAUUGUGACCUAGGGUUUGAAAAACACUGUAGUAAACUUGUCUUGUUAAGAUGCCCGUUUAUCUAUAGGAUUCCCUCUCUCAGGUAGCUCAGAAGUCAGUCUCCCUCUACCUCUAAUAAAAUUCACUUUCAGGAAAGCUAAAUAGGGAAAAGGCCUCCCACUUAGAUUAUUGUAUUCCUGUAUUAUAUUUUUGGUCAGUGAAAAAUGUUAAUUGCUUUUCACAGUCAGAAAAUGUAUUUGGGUUUCUAUGAUGCCAUGGUGACUGGGUUGUAUUAACACUACUUUUAUGAAAUAGAGCUAAUGCAUCUAAGCACAAACACCACAUCACUACAGGGAUUAUAUUUGCAAAACCCAAAAUUGAGACAUUAUCUGACAAAAGAGUUUUGUCUAUAGUUUUUGUUACGUGAAACGCUGACAAAAUUUGAAAGUAAUGUGGGGCGAGGUAGCUUGUGUCCAAUGUCCCAGCGGGAGGCUGAGGUGAGAGGAUCCCUUGAGCCCAGGAGUUCAAGUUAGGCCUGGGCAACAUAACCCCAUCUCUUAAAAAUAAAAAAAAAAGGCAAAUUAUAAGUCACAUUUAAUUAUACUUAAUAUAGCCCCUUUUCAACAGAUAAAAAUAAAAUAAUAUGAAACCUGGAUAAUCUUGGGAAAUUGAGACUGUAUGACUACCAUACAUAAAAUAACAGAUGUGCUAUUCAUUGGUAGGCUUAUAGCUAGAUGACUCGAGGACCAUGUAGAAAAGACUUAGCUGUAAUUAGUACCUGUGACUAGACAAAACUUGAUCAAAUGAAAGUUAGAGUCACUUCCAAGUCUGAGGGAUGUUGGAAAGAAAAAUGCAUAGAGAAAGAGAGUGGGAAUUUACUGCUUGAAAAACACUCAGGAGUUUAACUUAUUUGGCAAUAGAAUUGUGUUAUUUUUGACGUCUAGUUUAACAUUAAAUAUGUUUUGUGUAAAUUGUUUUUUGACGCUGAGCCAGGAAAACAUUUUAAGCAGCUCUAAGUUAAAAGUUUGACUAACAUGCAUUUACUUACUCCUCCAUUACCUCCACCAGCUCACCCUUUCACAAUGGAGUAAUUUAGAGGAGUAUCAGAAACACUUUGGUAUGGAAAAAUAGAACCUAAAUUUUAUACCAAAGGACCAUAAUUUACCUUUAUGUGGUUAGAAUUGGAUAUAUGAGAUGUCGUUUGAGUACUGAAUUUUAGAUUCUGUCUUUUUCACUAUUGGAGCUAAAAUAAGGUUUUAAACAAGCUCAGAAAUGAGUAUAGCAAUUUGUUGCGCUCAGAUGGCCCAGAAAUACAUGAAUAGCUGCUUAAGCUCUCUAGUGAUCAGGCAUAUGCAAAUUGAAACUACAGUGAAAUACCAUUUCAUGUCCAAAAUUGGCACAAAUUAAAGAUGUUACGUGGACAUUACCAAAUGUUAGGAGAGUGUAGUAUAAAACUAAUGAGUGUAAAUUGGUACAGGUGCUGUGACCUGUACCAAUACCCUAUGACUAGGAAUUCUGCUUCUAGUGUAUCUCUUGUGUGCGUGCACAAGAAAACAUACAGGAACAUUGUUUGUAAUGCUAUUUUGUAACAGUGCAAAAAUGAGAACUACUUAUAUGUCUGUCGAUAAGGAAAUAGCUACAGAAAAUAUUGUCUAGUCCAACGUUCUCCACUAGAAAUAUGAUGUGAACAACAUAUGUUAUUUGAAAUUUAGUUUUAAGGUUCUAAAAAGGAAGUCAAAAUCAAUUUUUAUAUAUUUUGACACAGUUUAUCCAAAAUGCUAUCUUUUUAAAAGUGAUUAAUGUAAAAGUCAUGGAGAUACAUUACAUUUUUUAAAAAAAUACUAAGUCUUUGAAAUCCAUUAUGUAUUUUGCAUUUAGAGCACAUCUCAAUUUGAAUGUUAAAUGUUUAUUGGAAAUACUUGAUCUGAAUUUAAAUUUCAUAAAAUUUCUGUUGGAAAAAGUAGAUUCACAUACCCAGGUUGUUCCAUAUAUAUUUAAAAGCUUUUCAGACACUGAACUGAGUAUCAGAUAAAGUUUAAAUUAAUUCACUUUCUCAGUUGCACCAGCUGAAUUUCACAUGCGUAGUGGUCAGGUGGCUAGUGGCUACCAUACUGGAUAGUGUAAUUCUAAUCAUAACAUGUAUUGUUAUGUGGCAGUUAAAUGACCUAGGCUGGGCAUGGUGGCUCAUACCUUUAAUCGCAGCACUUUAGGAGGCCGAAAAGUGAGAGGAUCGCA